UUGGGAAUAUUGGACAAUGGGGGAAACCCUGAUCCAGCGAUGCCGCGUGAGUGAUGAAGGCCUUCGGGUUGUAAAGCUCUUUUGGCAGGGACGAUGAUGACGGUACCUGCAGAAUAAGCUCCGGCUAACUUCGUGCCAGCAGCCGCGGUAAUACGAAGGGAGCAAGCGUUGUUCGGAUUUACUGGGCGUAAAGAGCGCGUAGGCGGUUAUGUAAGUUGGAUGUGAAAGCCCCGGGCUCAACCUGGGAAUUGCAUUCAAAACUGCAUGACUUGAGUGUGGAAGAGGAUGGUGGAAUAUCCGGUGUAGAGGUGAAAUUCGUAGAUAUCGGAUAGAACACCCGUGGCGAAGGCGGCCAUCUGGUCCACAACUGACGCUGAGGCGCGAAAGCGUGGGGAGCAAA
RNAcentral lists this ribosomal RNA (400 nucleotides) under uncultured bacterium. RNAcentral's name for it is "bacterial SSU rRNA". It matches the Rfam family "Bacterial small subunit ribosomal RNA", at positions 355 to 772 of the family's 1533-position model. The record is from RNAcentral.